GAUGAAUUCAACGGUGCAAUCAUCAGGCAAUGAGGCUAACAUUGACGUUCAAUCGCUAGUUGCAACGUUAUCAAAUGGCUCUGCACUCGCAGUAAAUGACGGUGCAACAUUCAGUCCACCAGAGAAUGGCGAAUGUGUAGAUGCUGAAGAAGCAAAUGGAUCUGACGAUCCAUUGGAUGCUGACCUUCGGGAUUUCUGAAUGACACGAAGCGGAUUCGAAUGAUUUUUGGUUCAAGACGACUAUAGUCGCAUCGAAACCAACCAAUAAUUCAUAUUCUAAUAAGAAAAAAAAUGCAAGUUAUUGCAUUGGCAUUGAAAAACAAAAAAAUAUUUUGAUGUUCCCAUUAAGCGAUAUGCACAGGUGAAUUGCGAUUGUUCAACCAUUCUAAUCAUAUCAACUGAUUUCAACGGUUCAUUUUGAUUCACACAUUUUUCCAUUACUUCUGCAUUCAUUCUCCGAAUUAUUUCAACAUAAAAUUUUGACUUACAUUUGAAAAUAUUAAAAAAAUUCUAUUCAAACAAUCGCGACUCGCCUGAAUCCUAAGUAUGCGUACAGUAAAUAGAAUACUAAGUUCAAAGCUACCUCAUAAAUACGUAAAAAUCGAUUUAAAGUAAAAUUUAUGCGCUGAUGUUAUUCUAUCGAAUAACAGAGAAGCGAUUUCUAGACGCUAAUCUCAUCUGGUUACAAACUCUAAGCUUAAACUGACUACGAAAAACUGAUUUUGCUUUGAAAGUCGCAAAAAGUUUAUUUUGAAUGUGAAAAUAUGUCCAAUAACAAACACAGAUUUCAAACAUGCUUAAUUUGAUCAAUAAUUUGCAAGGUGCAAAUAUUUUGUAUCUUCAUGGAAAUUACUGGGAUUGGAUUACCCAGUCGACCACUUGGACAAAAUGAACCUAUUUAGUGUAAUUUGUUUUAGCCUCACUUUAAGUACGGUUAAUAUUUUCAUGUAAAAAAAACCUAAAUCGAUUCGUUGUUAUACAAAAAGUUUGAAAUUUUUGUUCAAAAAUAAAAUGGAACUGAAACAAUAAAAUUUUGAAUUUGAAAUAA
Long non-coding RNA from Sitodiplosis mosellana (orange wheat blossom midge), 1048 nucleotides. RefSeq lists it as uncharacterized. The record is from RefSeq and is a predicted model, not a curated record. The transcript has 3 exons. NCBI's taxonomy places the organism in Eukaryota, Metazoa, Arthropoda, Insecta, Diptera, Cecidomyiidae.